RNAcentral lists this ribosomal RNA (253 nucleotides) under uncultured bacterium. RNAcentral's name for it is "partial 16S ribosomal RNA". It matches the Rfam family "Bacterial small subunit ribosomal RNA", at positions 524 to 776 of the family's 1533-position model. The record is from RNAcentral.
UACGAAGGGGGCUAGCGUUGCUCGGAAUCACUGGGCGUAAAGCGCACGUAGGCGGCUUUUUAAGUCAGAGGUGAAAUCCUGGAGCUCAACUCCAGAACUGCCUUUGAUACUGGAGAGCUUGAGUCCGGGAGAGGUGAGUGGAACUGCGAGUGUAGAGGCGAAAUUCGUAGAUAUUCGCAAGAACACCAGUGGCGAAGGCGGCUCACUGGCCCGGUACUGACGCUGAGGUGCGAAAGCGUGGGGAGCAAACAGG